AUGGAAAAAUACCGUAGAACUAUUGUUCUAUGGUUUGCGCUUAAAAAAACAUCAGCUCCAUCAACACAGUUGUUCAAGUAUAGCUUUAGCAGCUGAAGUCGCUCCUCUUCCCCGGGUAGGGGAAACUCGAUAACUUCAUCAAUUCGGUCAGUAACAGUAGCAUCAAGAUCACCCAGUGGGUUGUUGCAACUUGCAAGGACAAGAACAAUGUCCCUUGAUUGGUCACCAGUUCGAACCAACAGCGCAUUGAGAGCAUUCCGCCGAGCUUCACUCAUAUGUGUGUGUUGCGCCUACUAG
RNAcentral lists this ribosomal RNA (297 nucleotides) under Triticum aestivum (bread wheat). RNAcentral describes it as "partial small subunit ribosomal RNA". Lineage: Eukaryota; Viridiplantae; Streptophyta; Magnoliopsida; Poales; Poaceae. The record is from RNAcentral.